RNAcentral lists this long non-coding RNA (342 nucleotides) under Arachis ipaensis. RNAcentral's name for it is "long non-coding RNA (AIPA_LNC001079)". The record is from RNAcentral. Lineage: Eukaryota; Viridiplantae; Streptophyta; Magnoliopsida; Fabales; Fabaceae.
AGUGAUAAGUACCAACCUUAUUACAACAUAGAAAGAAAGAGAUAAAAAAAGGAACGGGAAGAAGAAACAUUAUGGGUGAGCUUCAAAGAACUCUGUAACCGCGUUCUUCACCCAACAAUUUCUUGGCACCAUCGGUAGAGACUUAACUCCAAGGAAGGUGAGUUCAUUAAAUUAAGUUCCUGCCAUACUUUAAGUGAUUGGGGGCAAUUUAUUAAGCUAUGAACAAUUGAUUCUGGUUCUAUUCUGCAUCUAGGGCAAUUGGCAGAGAAAUUGGGAAAUCUACUCGGAAACCGCUGGUUCACAGGGAUACCUUCAUGAAUAGCUCGCCACACAAAAAGCUUG